RNAcentral lists this ribosomal RNA (572 nucleotides) under uncultured bacterium. RNAcentral's name for it is "partial 16S ribosomal RNA". It matches the Rfam family "Bacterial small subunit ribosomal RNA", at positions 355 to 922 of the family's 1533-position model. The record is from RNAcentral.
UGGGGAAUAUUGGCACAAUUGGGCGCAAGGCCUGAUGCCAGCAACGCCGCAGUGCAGGGAUGACGGGCCUUCGGGCUUGGUUAAAACCUCUUUUAGCAGGGAAGAAGCGAAAGUGACGGUACCUGCAGAAAAAGCGCCGGCUAACUACGUGCCAGCAGCCGCGGUAAUACGUAGGGCGCAAGCGUUAUCCGGAAUUAUUGGGCGUAAAGAGCCUCGUAGGCGGUUUGUCGCGUCUGCUGUGAAAUCCCGAGGCUCAACCUCGGGUCUGCAGUGGGUACGGGCAGACUAGAGUGCGGUAGGGGAGAUUGGAAUUCCUGGUGUAGCGGUGGAAUGCGCAGAUAUCAGGAGGAACACCGAUGGCGAAGGCAGAUCUCUGGGCCGUAACUGACGCUGAGGGGCGAAAGGGUGGGGAGCAAACAGGCUUAGAUACCCUGGUAGUCCACCCCGUAAACGUUGGGAACUAGUUGUGGGGUCCAUUCCACGGAUUCCGUGACGCAGCUAACGCAUUAAAAUUUCCCCCGCCUGGGGAGUACGGCCGCAAGGCUAAAACUCAAAUGAAUUGACGGGGUCAU